This 490-nucleotide ribosomal RNA is filed under the name uncultured bacterium. RNAcentral describes it as "partial 16S ribosomal RNA". It matches the Rfam family "Bacterial small subunit ribosomal RNA", at positions 29 to 505 of the family's 1533-position model. The record is from RNAcentral.
AGUGAACGCUGGCGGUAGGCCUAACACAUGCAAGUCGAACGGCAGCACAGUAAGAGCUUGCUCUUACGGGUGGCGAGUGGCGGACGGGUGAGGAAUACAUCGGAAUCUACUUUUUCGUGGGGGAUAACGUAGGGAAACUUACGCUAAUACCGCAUACGACCUACGGGUGAAAGCAGGGGAUCUUCGGACCUUGCGCGAUUGAAUGAGCCGAUGUCGGAUUAGCUAGUUGGCGGGGUAAAGGCCCACCAAGGCGACGAUCCGUAGCUGGUCUGAGAGGAUGAUCAGCCACACUGGAACUGAGACACGGUCCAGACUCCUACGGGAGGCAGCAGUGGGGAAUAUUGGACAAUGGGUGCAAGCCUGAUUCAGCCAUACCGCGUGGGUGAAGAAGGCCUUCGGGUUGUAAAGCCCUUUUGUUGGGAAAGAAAAGCAGCAGGUUAAUACCCCGCUGUUCUGACGGUACCCAAAGAAUAAGCACCGGCUAACUUCG